GCCUGUGUGAAAGGCAGAACCCUCUCUGAUGACAGGGGAGAACCUAAAACAGGCACCUGGAAGCAUCUCCAAAAUUGUGGGGUGUUUGAAAACGGAAGCAGAGCUGGUCUCUCCACUCGGCAACAGAAGGAAGCACCCUGCCUCCUGCACUCACAAGGCUUCAGCACAACUUCCGGAACUCGGCCGAAUGAGCACAUUCCACAUCCCCCCGCGUGAGAUACAGACCGUGACAGGUGGGAGAGGCCUAGAACUCUGUGAGUUUGGGGGUGUGGAGUGCAUCACUUGGCGCCCAUCUGUGGGGCUGAAGUGUGAAUGCCUGGCCACAGGGAGCACAGUGAGGCUGGCACAGGAGGGAGCCUGCCCCUGCGGAGAGCCCGCUGUGAGCCGGGAGACCUCCCGCCCCAGCCCUGCCUCUGGCAGCUGUCCCGAGGAGAGACGGAGAAAUGUCCUGGCUCCAACACUGUCGCUCACAGUGACAUCCAUCAGACAGACCGGCGCGCAGCCCUCCUGCCUGGCCUCGGGUUCCCACUUGCUGAGUGGAGUGCACUGGGGAACCCUCCCCACUGAAAGUCUGGGAAACUGUGCCGGUCCCCAGACGUCGUCCAAUGGCCGGCAGUGCUCACUGCUGCACAACUGGAGGCAACGCCGCGGAAAGAGAAGCUCUCGGGCAGACGGUAAAAGCCGGGGUGGCAUCCAAACAGCACUUUGGGUUCACAGAUUUCGAAACAUUUUCAAAAA
This is a long non-coding RNA of Myotis davidii, 738 nucleotides long. RefSeq lists it as uncharacterized. The record is from RefSeq and is a predicted model, not a curated record. Lineage: Eukaryota; Metazoa; Chordata; Mammalia; Chiroptera; Vespertilionidae. The transcript is spliced from 2 exons.